RNAcentral lists this ribosomal RNA (465 nucleotides) under uncultured bacterium. Its description in RNAcentral is "partial 16S ribosomal RNA". It matches the Rfam family "Bacterial small subunit ribosomal RNA", at positions 338 to 795 of the family's 1533-position model. The record is from RNAcentral.
CCUACGGGAGGCAGCAGUGGGGAAUAUUGCGCAAUGGGCGCAAGCCUGAUGCAGCGACGCCGCGUGAAUGACGAAGGCCUUCGGGUUGUAAAGUUCUUUCGACAUGGAAGAAAAUGCCUAUAAGUAAACGUCUAUGCAUUGACGUUACCUGUAUAAGCAGCCCCGGCUAACUCCGUGCCAGCAGCCGCGGUAAUACGGAGGGGGCGAGCGUUGUUCGGAGUGACUGGGCGUAAAGGGCGCGUAGGCGGUGUGGUAAGUCAGAAGUGAAAGCCCAGGGCUCAACCUUAGAAAUGCUUGUGAUACUGGCAUACUUGAGUAUCGUAGAGGAAUGCAGAAUUCCUGGUGUAGCGGUGAAAUGCGUAGAUAUCAGGAGGAAUACCGGUGGCGAAGGCGGCCAGCUGGACUGAAACUGACGCUGAGGUGCGAAAGCGUGGGUAGCAAACAGGAUUAGAUACCCUUGUAGUC